GGAGCUCUCUCUUUAGAAGAGGAGAGCAAGGCCCACUUUGUCUGUUUUGCUCCCCAGUUAGGUGGAAGGCCAGUCUGAGGAAACGUCCAUCUACUUUCUUCAAAGACAGCAGGCAGAGAUGGUAGCCUUGAAGAAAAUGAAGUGAAACCAUGGCUUCACAAGUGAACCAGCUGCAGUCAAAACCUCGAGGCCACAAUAUAAAUCCACGGCUCUGAAAAAGUGGAAGGAGAGAGGGCAAAACAUCACACAGGUAAGAAUACUUGAUACGUUUUAUUCUUUUKUUUGUUUGUUUGUCUGCUAACAAAUCUGACUUCUGAGGUGAAACACUAUUGACUAAGCAGUGUCUCAACAUGAGUAGCCCACUUUGUGAUCUAGUCGGGGCCCAAAUUGCUAGCGACGCUCAUAAAGUGCUUGUAAUUAUAUAACAAUUAA
RNAcentral lists this long non-coding RNA (432 nucleotides) under Dromaius novaehollandiae (emu). RNAcentral describes it as "lncRNA (ENSDNVG00000003502.1)". The record is from RNAcentral. Lineage: Eukaryota; Metazoa; Chordata; Aves; Casuariiformes; Dromaiidae.